GCAACCCUCAGAGGAAAAAGAAACCACACGAUUCCAAAAGAUACACGGGGCACUUGAGCUCAGCCUUGAGAGCCUCUGAUGACUGUCCUGGAGAGGUUCUCAACCACAAUCUUGGCAGCCGGUGGAGGCAGGUGGUGGUCCCAAUCUACUACCAACCCCAAGUCUUCAAAGUCCAUCCUAUUCAAAAGUGACCUUACGAGCUCCAGCACCAUGUUGGUUCGAGUCUCCUGCUUGAGGGUCCAACGGCUCACAGUCGUG
RNAcentral lists this long non-coding RNA (258 nucleotides) under Homo sapiens (human). RNAcentral describes it as "non-protein coding lnc-PUS7-1:1". The record is from RNAcentral. Lineage: Eukaryota; Metazoa; Chordata; Mammalia; Primates; Hominidae.